This 490-nucleotide ribosomal RNA is filed under the name uncultured bacterium. RNAcentral describes it as "partial 16S ribosomal RNA". It matches the Rfam family "Bacterial small subunit ribosomal RNA", at positions 30 to 507 of the family's 1533-position model. The record is from RNAcentral.
AUUGAACGCUGGCGGCAGGCCUAACACAUGCCAGUCGAACGGUAACAGGGAUCAGCUUGCUGAUUCGCUGACGAGGGGCGGACGGGUGAGCGAUGUCUGGGCAACUGCCUGAUGGAGGGGGAUAACUACUGGAAACGGUAGCUAAUACCGCGUAGCGUCGCAAGACCAAAGAGGGGGACCUUCGGGCCUCUCGCCAUCGUAUGUGCCCAGAUGGGAUUAGCUAGUAGGUGGGGUAACGGCUCACCUAGGCGACGAUCCCUAGCUGGUCUGAGAGGAUGACCAGCCACACUGGAACUGAGACACGGUCCAGACUCCUACGGGAGGCAGCAGUGGGGAAUAUUGCACAAUGGGCGCAAGCCUGAUGCAGCCAUGCCGCGUGUAUGAAGAAGGCCUUCGGGUUGUAAAGUACUUUCAGCGGGGAGGAAGGGAGUUAAGUUAAUACCUUUGCUCAUUGACGUUACCCGCAGAAGAAGCACCGGCUAACUCCGUG